ACACCUUAAACUUAUAGAUAAGGAAAAUAAUGACUGCAGCGGUGCCUGAGUCCUUCUAAUGUGAGAUGAAUUUUUGAGUGGGUAAAGGAUCUCCCUAAAGUAACCCACCUACAAAUAUAUAAAUAUGAGAAAAGGGGUUGGGGGCGUAGCUCAGUGGUAGAGCCCCUGCCUA
Molecule: small nuclear RNA, 172 nt
Filed under: Mus pahari (shrew mouse)
Lineage: Eukaryota; Metazoa; Chordata; Mammalia; Rodentia; Muridae
Description: snRNA (MGP_PahariEiJ_G0033543.1)
Source: RNAcentral